Molecule: long non-coding RNA, 647 nt
Filed under: Nicotiana benthamiana
Lineage: Eukaryota; Viridiplantae; Streptophyta; Magnoliopsida; Solanales; Solanaceae
Description: long non-coding RNA (NBEN_LNC031734)
Source: RNAcentral
UCCAAUGUACCAAAUACACUUAAAAACUAAGAAGUUUGAUUCUCAUCCAGUGAAAAAGUAUCAAAUAAAUUGCGAUUUAAUAACUAAGCCAAAUACAAAAGAUACAUCCAUGAACAAAGAAAGGAAGCCUCUUCAUACAAGGAGAUAUUUCAUUAUUAUUAGAAAGAAAAUAACACUUAGGGUAUGUGUAAAUACCAGUCUAAAAACUCUCCCCAUAAUUAAUGUUACACAACUUUGUCCAAUUAAUUAGCGGUUGAGACAGUAACCACCAGAAGAACAAGCAGGGCAACCCCUCAUAUAGCAAUCAUUGUGAGUUUGACAAGAAAAUCUUGGGCAUCUACCUGCUUGUGGAAGCAGCUUGCUUCUCACUAGUUCAAUUCUUGCUGCUGUUCCUUCACCUGCAACUACUUCUUCUAUGGCAUCUGCCUUUACCAUUCGAGCUGAUGCAACUGCAAAGAUUUUCUCAUUAUCAUACACUUCAUUUCAAGAUCGAGAAAUCUAAAGAGAGAGAGAGAGAGUACGAACCAAUGGUAAACAUGAGGAGGACAAUGAACAAAGCAAGAUUGGCUGAAGACCUGGAGGCCAUGUUUUCUAGUCUUCAAGUGUAAUUAAAUUAUAUGACCGCCAUAUGUUUUCCUACUAUUAAU